This is a long non-coding RNA of Cucumis sativus (cucumber), 659 nucleotides long. RefSeq lists it as uncharacterized. The record is from RefSeq and is a predicted model, not a curated record. Lineage: Eukaryota; Viridiplantae; Streptophyta; Magnoliopsida; Cucurbitales; Cucurbitaceae. The transcript has 2 exons.
AAUCUACCACAAAUCCCACUCAUUUAACCAAGUUUAAGUGUUCAAUUCUUAUGCAAUUGAUUUGCAUGGCUAUAAAUAUAUGAAGGUUUAAUUAGAUUAAUCUUCUUAGUUGUUUUUUAAGAUUUCCUGAAAAUCUUAGCACUACCGAAAGCUCUCUUUCAUUUCUUCAAUUCUCUAUAAAUUAUCACACUCAUCGGAUCCCAACAUCUCGAUCUAUGGCCAAAGAUCAGUCAAAAAGACUUUUGUAAUGCAUUUCAGGAAUGCCCUGACGCUUGUCUGGGGUAGAAUUCGAGAAGACCUAUACAGAUGAAGCGCAGGGGUGCUAGCUUGGUGCCUGCUGGACGUGCUUUUCAAAGACCUCAAACCUAGAUGAAGCACAAUGGCGCUCCCCCGAGGUGGAGCGACGCACCAAACUUGAUUGAACGAACAUCACACUAGAAACACAACAACACUCUCUUAGGUGAACCACUGUGCUUUGACAAGCUUGCACCCUCCUGAUUUCUUUCUAUUGUGUUUAGGGUAUCACUUCCUUUAUUUAAUCAUUGUAUUUAAGUUCGGUUUUAAAUUAUUUUCUCUGCAUAUAGUUGUUGAGUUUUGACUAGCUGUUGAGAUUUGCUCCUAGUUUUUCUUUUUUGUUAUAUGCUGCUUGUUUCGUCUUU